GGGCCCAUAGCUCAAUGGUGGAGCAGGCGGCUCAUAACCGCUCGGUUCUUGGUUCGAGUCCGAGUGGGCCCACCA
This 75-nucleotide transfer RNA is filed under the name Abditibacteriota bacterium. RNAcentral describes it as "tRNA-Ile". It matches the Rfam family "tRNA". Rfam says of the family: Transfer RNA (tRNA) molecules are approximately 80 nucleotides in length. Their secondary structure includes four short double-helical elements and three loops (D, anti-codon, and T loops). Further hydrogen bonds mediate the characteristic L-shaped molecular structure. tRNAs have two regions of fundamental functional importance: the anti-codon, which is responsible for specific mRNA codon recognition, and the 3' end, to which the tRNAs corresponding amino acid is attached (by aminoacyl-tRNA synthetases). tRNAs cope with the degeneracy of the genetic code in two manners: having more than one tRNA (with a specific anti-codon) for a particular amino acid; and 'wobble' base-pairing, i.e. permitting non-standard base-pairing at the 3rd anti-codon position. Lineage: Bacteria; Pseudomonadati; Abditibacteriota. The record is from RNAcentral.